Girardinichthys multiradiatus is the source of this 820-nucleotide long non-coding RNA. RefSeq lists it as uncharacterized. Lineage: Eukaryota; Metazoa; Chordata; Actinopteri; Cyprinodontiformes; Goodeidae. The record is from RefSeq and is a predicted model, not a curated record. The transcript has 6 exons.
UAUUUGGUAGACUAUUCAGGUGUGUUAGACUAGAGAUGCCUCUGAACGUUGCUGGAAAACUGCCCUUAAGGAUUGGAGUCUUAUAUUCCUGCAUGACUUCACCCGUGGCUUUCCUGCAGUAACAGCUCUGAGUGUCUGCUGUGAAAGAGAUCCGUUUUACGCCAAAAUCAAACUUCAGGCAUUUAGAGGCAGACUUCCUGGUGUGGUAUGGAUCAUUGACCUUCUGCAUAACCCCUUGAGGAUUGUUUGGUGUGCCUGGUUGUGUUUCCCUGUGAUGGACUGGCAACUUGUCCAGGGUUGUACCCUUGUAUCCUCCUCGCCCGUAGACCACUGGAAAUAGGCACCAGCUCCCCGUGACCCUGUACAGAAGAAGCAGAUGGAGGAAUCGAGAAGGAUAAAACAUGCUGCUCACAUUGACGAGACUGCAGAUAUACAGGCUUGGUCCACAAACCUAGUCCUUCUGGAAAGGUACGCAUGCCCAGAACUCCUCCACCUGACCCUACUGGUCCAGAUCUACCAACCAAGCUCGUCCCAAUACCUGAUCCUCUGACAUGUGGUCAAGAUAGAUGCUGUUCAGACGCUCUUCAUCCAACCUGACUGAGAAGAAUGGGCGGACAUUUCCGUCUCUAGAUGUUCAAGCUGAAAUCCCAACAACAUAUAUUAAGCUGGAAAGACAUUUCGAGGUCUUCUGUCUGCGUCACGAAGUACAACCCUCAACUCCGGCCACUUCCUGGGAUAGAUGCAAUCAACCGUUUUCUGGACUGUUUAUUAUUUUAUCACAUUAAAAGCAACUUUGGAUUAAGCUCCACAAAAAACUGUA